Molecule: long non-coding RNA, 552 nt
Organism: Branchiostoma floridae (Florida lancelet)
Lineage: Eukaryota; Metazoa; Chordata; Leptocardii; Amphioxiformes; Branchiostomatidae
Exons: 3
Source: RefSeq, a predicted model, not a curated record
UAAAACCGUGCGUACAAGACAGCUAUGUAAGCGAACAAAAAUUGUCAAUCUGUUGAUAACUACACUGAUAAAUACACAAUAACAAUGCUGAUAUAUUUUUUUGCGUAACCAGUGAAACCGUUUGUAACGGCCGAGGAAUACAAACAAACAGAGGCGUUGGUGAGAGAGUUUGAAGAAGGGGUCGGCCAAUCGCUGCAUCAACAAUUACUGGAGAGGGCAAAGGUUAAGAGGAAUUGGCUUGAAGACUGGUGGGUGGAUGUGAUGUACCUUCAGUCAAGGCACUCCCUCCCCCUUUCUUCCAACAUCGUCGGGAUGGUGCCCGUCAUGGACCACAUGUGGCCUGCAGGGGUGAAACCGGCAGACAGGAUUCCGCUGUUCCUCUGGGCAUCUCUCUGUCUGUGGAAACUCCUUAGGAAAGAGCAGAUACCAGUUGACAAGACUGUGCUGACAGGACGGCCGUUCUGCAUGGACCAGUUUCGUAACAUGUUCUCGGCUCACAGGAUUUCCUGGUGUGACCAUGGACAAGAUUGUCAGUCAUUUCACGACAGGUAU